GAUCAUUACAGAGUUUUCCAACUCCCAACCCAUGUGAAUCUACCAUUGUUGCCUCGGCGGAACCUACCCAGUAGCGAGUUACCCUGUAACGACCUACCCGGUAGCGAACUCCGCCGGUGGACCUCCAAACUCUUGUUUACUACAGUGAAUCUGAGCGUCUUAUUUUAAUAAGUCAAAACUUUCAACAACGGAUCUCUUGGUUCUGGCAUCGAUGAAGAACGCAGCGAAAUGCGAUACGUAAUGUGAAUUGCAGAAUUCAGUGAAUCAUCGAAUCUUUGAACGCACAUUGCGCCCAUUAGUAUUCUAGUGGGCAUGCCUGUUCGAGCGUCAUUUCAACCCUUAAGCCUAGCUUAGUGUUGGGAAUCUACGGUAAAACGUAGUUCCUCAAAAACAACGGCGGAUCUGCUGUGUCCUCUGAGCGUAGUAAUUCUUUAUCUCGCUUUUGUCAGGAGCAGCGGCCCUUGCCGCUAAACCACCCAAUUUUUUUAAUGGUUGACCUCGGAUCAGGUAGGAAUACCCGCUGAACUUAAGCAUAUCAAUAAGCGGAGGAAAAGAAACCAACAGGGAUUGCCCUAGUAACGGCGAGUGAAGCGGCAACAGCUCAAAUUUGAAAUCUGGCCCUCGGGUCCGAAUUGUAAUUUGUAGAGGAUGCUUUUGGUGCGGUGCCUUCCGAGUUCCCUGGAACGGGACGCCUUAGAGGGUGAGAGCCCCGUACGGUUGGACACCAAGCCUUUGUAAAGCUCCUUCGACGAGUCGAGUAGUUUGGGAAUGCUGCUCUAAAUGGGAGGUAAAUUUCUUCUAAAGCUAAAUACCGGCCAGAGACCGAUAGCGCACAAGUAGAGUGAUCGAAAGAUGAAAAGUACUUUGAAAAGAGGGUUAAAUAGCACGUGAAAUUGUUGAAAGGGAAGCGUUUAUGACCAGACUUUUUCCAGGCGGAUCAUCCGGUGUUCUCACCGGUGCACUUCGUCUGGUUGAGGCCAGCAUCGGUUUCUGUAGGGGGAUAAAAUCGGUGGGAAUGUGGCUCCCCCGGGAGUGUUAUAGCCCAUCGAAUAAUACCCUUACGGGGACCGAGGUUCGCGCA
Molecule: ribosomal RNA, 1081 nt
Filed under: fungal endophyte
Lineage: Eukaryota; Fungi
Description: eukaryotic LSU rRNA
Rfam family: Eukaryotic large subunit ribosomal RNA (bases 494-1081)
Source: RNAcentral